This 866-nucleotide ribosomal RNA is filed under the name Salmonella enterica subsp. enterica. RNAcentral describes it as "partial 23S ribosomal RNA". It matches the Rfam family "Bacterial large subunit ribosomal RNA", at positions 2069 to 2925 of the family's 2925-position model. The record is from RNAcentral. Lineage: Bacteria; Pseudomonadati; Pseudomonadota; Gammaproteobacteria; Enterobacterales; Enterobacteriaceae.
CCCGCGGCAAGACGGAAAGACCCCGUGAACCUUUACUAUAGCUUGACACUGAACAUUGAGCCUUGAUGUGUAGGAUAGGUGGGAGGCUUUGAAGUGUGGACGCCAGUCUGCAUGGAGCCGACCUUGAAAUACCACCCUUUAAUGUUUGAUGUUCUAACGUGGACCCGUAAUCCGGGUUGCGGACAGUGUCUGGUGGGUAGUUUGACUGGGGCGGUCUCCUCCUAAAGAGUAACGGAGGAGCACGAAGGUUGGCUAAUCCUGGUCGGACAUCAGGAGGUUAGUGCAAUGGCAUAAGCCAGCUUGACUGCGAGCGUGACGGCGCGAGCAGGUGCGAAAGCAGGUCAUAGUGAUCCGGUGGUUCUGAAUGGAAGGGCCAUCGCUCAACGGAUAAAAGGUACUCCGGGGAUAACAGGCUGAUACCGCCCAAGAGUUCAUAUCGACGGCGGUGUUUGGCACCUCGAUGUCGGCUCAUCACAUCCUGGGGCUGAAGUAGGUCCCAAGGGUAUGGCUGUUCGCCAUUUAAAGUGGUACGCGAGCUGGGUUUAGAACGUCGUGAGACAGUUCGGUCCCUAUCUGCCGUGGGCGCUGGAGAACUGAGGGGGGCUGCUCCUAGUACGAGAGGACCGGAGUGGACGCAUCACUGGUGUUCGGGUUGUCAUGCCAAUGGCACUGCCCGGUAGCUAAAUGCGGAAGAGAUAAGUGCUGAAAGCAUCUAAGCACGAAACUUGCCCCGAGAUGAGUUCUCCCUGAGACUUAGAGUCUCCUGAAGGAACGUUGAAGACGACGACGUUGAUAGGCCGGGUGUGUAAGCGCAGCGAUGCGUUGAGCUAACCGGUACUAAUGAACCGUGAGGCUUAACCUUACAA